RNAcentral lists this long non-coding RNA (1891 nucleotides) under Gossypium barbadense (sea-island cotton). RNAcentral describes it as "long non-coding RNA (GBAR_LNC021572)". Lineage: Eukaryota; Viridiplantae; Streptophyta; Magnoliopsida; Malvales; Malvaceae. The record is from RNAcentral.
UCAUUUUACUCUACAUUCUAACGUCGUCCUCCUUUCUUUGUUUCUACAUAUUUUCCUUUCCUUUUAUUACAAGCUAGAUAACCGUCAUUCCUUUUGACCCUUGAGCCCUUUCACCAUUUCUAAAAAUCAGAAAGGUUGCUUUGGGGCUGCAUGUCUUCCUCCUCAUUUGGCAUUUAAAUCGAUGGUCCUUCUUCAAUUUCUAUUUCUUUGGCCUCUUCCAUUUCCCCAACCCUAGCCACCUUCAUCACCUGACUCGCCUUUCAGGCCCUUUAUCUCUUCCAAUGUUAGUGAGGAGAGGAGGCCUUUGGAUGUUUCAUGACCUUUUCUAAGGUAUCUGUUUAGAGGUUUUUAGCAGCCCCAAUUUUUCCUCUUUUUUGUUCAACCAUGUUUCUUUCUCCGUUUUCGGCAUUCGAGUGACUAUCUUUAACCGACCACCUACUGUUUGUCUCUCUCCACCUCUUCAAUUUCCCAUUCUAGCAUUUCAUCGUUUAGAUAAGUGCUCCGUUCUCUUUAUAACCCCUCUUUUUCUAGGAUAUGGGCCACUGCAUUUCCAAAUAUCGAUGUCUGACCGAAUUUAUAGUUUCAAAAAUUUAGACUAUUUGUUUCCAGAUCAACGGUAUACGCCAUUAUAACUAACUCUUCCUAUUUUCUGUUUGCCAUUUUUUAACCACUAUAAGUGUGUUUCCUUUAAUAAUCACAUUUCCCAACCCUAGAUCCAUCCCCAUGUUAACUACUUAAAGACAUGCAAGGGCUUCUGCUGUAAAAACUGAGGGUACACAUUUGUUAAUACGCAUUUAGGCUCCAAGUACACUACCAUUUAGAUCUCUAACUACCAUGCUCGAACAUGAUUUCAGUAAAUGGGUCUGGAAGGUCGCAUCGUAAUUUAUUUUCACAAAUGGUUGUUCGGGAGGUUUCUAUCAUUCUACUUUAUCCUCCUAGUAGGUAACUUCUCUUUUGUUGCAUUUAUUUCUAAAAUAUAGGGUUUUGUACCUUUUUUGCUAUUUUUGGGCUGUUUGCACCACUCUUUUGUGUAUAAUUUUAUUUCUUAUUGUUCAUAACACCCAUAUAGCACAUGCCACUAUUCUACAUCCCUGAUUUGACAUACCUGCAAAAAGUUCUGCUACCUAAUCUUGAUAACUUAGAACUGAACUCUUUUGUGACCAUUGUAUAUUUAAUUCCUGCCAUACUUGACCUGCAAUUGUACAAUCCCUAAACACAUGCUUAAGAUUUUUUGCAUCAUUUGAACAUUCGGGACACUCCGUCGUGUUAGUAAGGCACCUCUAAUAGAGAUUAUGGAAGUUUUGGAUAUGGUUUUUGAAAAUUCUCUACUUUGUAAUCCUUAUUUUGCUUGGUAAAUCUAUUUGUCAUAGCUUUUUUUUUUUUUUGUAAAAUGGUAUGUAAUUGUUCAAAUUUUCAUUAAGAUUAAGAAUAUUUGUACCUUGUAUUAAGAAUUUGUAACCGCUUCUAACCAAGUACUCCCCAGAAGCUUCCUCCUCCAAGCCAACAUGUCGUCCUGAGGUGUCUGAGCAAGAGGAAUACACAAUAUUUUCGUGGCUUCAUCAAUUGUGAAUUUAUUAGUAAUGAGUUGCAUUUUUCAUCUUUUGUUUUCUUGAUCAAUUAAAUCAGAAACAAUAUUUAUUUGUAAGCUACUAAUAUUCGAAGUUAUUUUGUGAUCUGUCAAACAUUGAUAUUACUCCCCGUUCCUACCCGCCAACACAUACCUCCUAGAAGGAGUCCCUUGCCUGCCCAUAUGCUCUUCCAGGUAUAUGAAGGGUGAGUAUUGUAACAGCCCAUUUCCAGUAAAAUCAGAACAGUGGUUUUGGGACCAUAAAUCUGAGUCCGAUAGAAAAUUUAUUUUAAUAUUAUUUCAUGGUCUACAUUAUGAUAAAAA